This 519-nucleotide ribosomal RNA is filed under the name uncultured Glomus. Its description in RNAcentral is "SSU rRNA". It matches the Rfam family "Eukaryotic small subunit ribosomal RNA", at positions 569 to 1089 of the family's 1831-position model. The record is from RNAcentral. Lineage: Eukaryota; Fungi; Glomeromycota; Glomeromycetes; Glomerales; Glomeraceae.
AGCAGCCGCGGUAAUUCCAGCUCCAAUAGCGUAUAUUAAAGUUGUUGCAGUUAAAAAGCUCGUAGUUGAAUUUCGGGAUCAAUAUGUUGGUCGUAUCAUUGGUACGUACUGGCAUUAUUGAUUCCUACCUUCUGAAGAACCUUGAUGUCAUUAAUUUGGUGUCUUGGGGAAUCUGGACUGUUACUUUGAAAAAAUUAGGGUGUUUAAAGCAGGCUCGCGCUUGAAUACAUUAGCAUGGAAUAAUGAAAUAGGACGUUUGAUUCUAUUUUGUUGGUUUCUAGGAUUGACGUAAUGAUUAAUAGGGAUAGUUGGGGGCAUUAGUAUUCAAUUGUCAGAGGUGAAAUUCUUGGAUUUAUUGAAGACUAACUACUGCGAAAGCAUUUGCCAAGGAUGUUUUCAUUAAUCAAGAACGAAAGUUAGGGGAUCGAAGACGAUCAGAUACCGUCGUAGUCUUAACCAUAAACUAUGCCGACUAGGGAUCGGAUGAUGUUAAUUUUUUAAUGACUCAUUCGGCUACCG